GGGGGGGACGGUUGUAACUGUUCCCGCCCCAAAUAACCCCUAUAAAAUGAUUUGUUUUCUUUGUCUGAUGGGAUAAGAAACAAAUAUACAGAGAAUAAAAAAUUGGGUCUUGAAUACAGAGAAAAAUCAGUGACAACAAUAAGAGCAUUUAGUUUGUAAUUAAAGUUUUGUUUCCAAGUGAUUCAAAACAGAUUUGGGCAGAUCCAAUUUCAGAAGCACAUACAAUUCUGCUACAUACUAAGAAUUGCCUGAACAAAGACAAACUCGAAUUACUCCAAGUGGGAGUUCGAGAUGUCGAGAAAAGAAACAAAGUAGAAGACCACGUCGACGAAGGACAUGUUUUCGAGGUCGUGAGAUCAUAAGAAACGGUGUUCCUAGGGCGACUCAAAAUCUGUUAUGGAAUGAAAGGGCUAUACAAAGGAAAAGAGAAAAGAAGUUGAAAAAAUUCAAGUCUUUUAAGAUGUCACCUAACAUUAGUGUUGCUAGUUUUAUUCAUUUGUUUGAAAUGAAAUGUGUAAAACUAGAAAACUAUGUAAAAAUCUCGGAUUGGGAAGUAUUAGCUAUAUUAGCAAAUUCUCUCCGUGACCCUUAUGGCGAGAGAUUAAUUGAUGUUUAGCACGAGAUUUGGCCUAGCGAGCCUUUUUGGGUAUACAUAAGUCGUCUAGAAUAUUUGUGAAAUGACUUUCAUUUCUAGAUUGACUUGUAACAUAAAGUUGUUAUAAACUUUAUAUUAUACAUAUAUUAAGUUGUUUA
Capsicum annuum is the source of this 753-nucleotide long non-coding RNA. RefSeq lists it as uncharacterized. The record is from RefSeq and is a predicted model, not a curated record. Lineage: Eukaryota; Viridiplantae; Streptophyta; Magnoliopsida; Solanales; Solanaceae. The transcript has 2 exons.